Molecule: long non-coding RNA, 1116 nt
Filed under: Phascolarctos cinereus (koala)
Lineage: Eukaryota; Metazoa; Chordata; Mammalia; Diprotodontia; Phascolarctidae
Description: lncRNA (ENSPCIG00000031438.1)
Source: RNAcentral
AUGAAGAUGCCUCUUCCUCCCACUGGCAAAUUCCUCUCCAGAACUUCCACUGGCCCCAAACCCGGCCUCUAUUUGCGUCCAAGGGCACCUCCCACCACAAACACUCAGUGCGGCUUUUGCUCACACUCUCUCUCUCAUUCACAUGCUCACAGGCGUGCUCUCUCCAGCUCUCUCUCUCUCUCUGUGUCUCUCUUUCUCUUUCUCUCAUUCACAUGCUCACAGGUGUGCUCUCUCCAGCUCUCUCUCUCUCUCUGUGUCUCUCUUUCUCUUUCUCUCAUUCACAUGCUCACAGGUGUGCUCUCUCCAGCUCUCUCUCUCUCUCUGUCUCUCUCUCUUUCUCUCAUUCAGAUGCUCGCAGGUGUGCUCUCUGCAGCUCUGUCUCUCUCUCUUUCUCUCUCUCAUUCACAUGCUCACAGGCGUGCUCUCUCUAGCUCCCUCUCUCUCUGUGUCUCUCUCUUUCUCUCUCUCUCUCAUUCACAUGCUCACAGGCGUGCUCUCUCUCCAGCUCUCUCUCUCUCUCUCUCUCUCUCUCUCUCUCUCUCUCAUUCACAUACUCACAGGCGUGCUCUCUCUAGCUCCCUCUGUGUGUGUGUGUGUGCGUGUGUGUGUGUGUCUCAUUCACAUGCUCACAGGUGCACUCUCUCCAGCUCUCUCUCUUUGUCCCUCUCUUUCUCUUGUUCAGAUGCUCGCAGGCGCGCGCUCUCUCUCUCUCUCUCUCUCUGUCUCUCUUUCUCUCUCUCUUGUUCAGAUGCUCAGAGCUCUCCAGCUCUCUCUCUCUGUCUCUCUCUUUCUCUCUCUCUCUCAUUCACAUACUCACAGGUGUGCUCUCUCCAGCUCUCUUUCUGUCUCUCUCUCUUUUUCUCUCUCUCUCUCCCUUUCUCUCUCUGUCUCUCUCUCCUUUCAGCUUUCUGUGCUGUCUUCCCCUCCAUUAGCAUACAGGCUCCUCAAGGGCAGGAACUGUCUUUCUUCUUGUUGGCAUUUGUAUUCCCAGCACAAUUAAUCCUUAAUAAAUGCUUUAUCUAUCUUUAUCUCAGCUGGAGAAGGAAAUGGCAAAUCCUUCCAGUAUCUCUGCCAAGAAAAGCCCAAGUGGCACCACAAAGAGUGGGAUGUGAGUAA